UGGGGAAUCUUCCGCAAUGGACGAAAGUCUGACGGAGCAACGCCGCGUGAACGAUGACGGCCUUCGGGUUGUAAAGUUCUGUUAUACGGGACGAAUGGUACGACGGUCAAUACCCGCCGUAAGUGACGGUACCGUAAGAGAAAGCCACGGCUAACUACGUGCCAGCAGCCGCGGUAAUACGUAGGUGGCAAGCGUUGUCCGGAAUUAUUGGGCGUAAAGGGCGCGCAGGCGGCGUCGUAAGUCGGUCUUAAAGGUGCGGGGCUUAACCCCGUGAGGGGACCGAAACUGCGAUGCUAGAGUAUCGGAGAGGAAAGCGGAAUUCCUAGUGUAGCGGUGAAAUGCGUAGAUAUUAG
This 353-nucleotide ribosomal RNA is filed under the name uncultured Megasphaera sp. Its description in RNAcentral is "bacterial SSU rRNA". It matches the Rfam family "Bacterial small subunit ribosomal RNA", at positions 355 to 700 of the family's 1533-position model. The record is from RNAcentral. Lineage: Bacteria; Bacillati; Bacillota; Negativicutes; Veillonellales; Veillonellaceae.